ACGAACGCUGGCGGCGUGCUUAACACAUGCAAGUCGAACGGGGUCCAACCAGUCGCAAGACCGGGGAAGACCAAGUGGCGAACGGGUGCGUAACACGUGAGGAACCUGUCCCGGUCUCUGGAAUAACGAGUGGAAACAUUCGCUAAUACCGGAUGCCGUCGGGUCACCGCAUGGUGAACUGACGAAAGGGCUACCGGAUCGGGAGGGGCUCGCGGCCUAUCAGCUUGUUGGUGAGGUAACGGCUCACCAAGGCGUCGACGGGUAGCUGGUCUGAGAGGAUGAUCAGCCACACUGGGACUGAGACACGGCCCAGACUCCUACGGGAGGCAGCAGUGGGGAAUCUUGCACAAUGGGCGAAAGCCUGAUGCAGCAACGCCGCGUGCGGGAAGAAGGCCUUAGGGUUGUAAACCGCUUUCAGCAGGGAAGAAAAUGACGGUACCUGUAGAAGAAGGUGCGGCCAACUACGU
Molecule: ribosomal RNA, 467 nt
Filed under: uncultured bacterium
Lineage: Bacteria
Description: bacterial SSU rRNA
Rfam family: Bacterial small subunit ribosomal RNA
Source: RNAcentral